Molecule: ribosomal RNA, 1481 nt
Filed under: metagenome
Description: bacterial SSU rRNA
Rfam family: Bacterial small subunit ribosomal RNA
Source: RNAcentral
AGAGUUUGAUUCUGGCUCAGGAUGAACGCUAGCGGCAGGCCUAAUACAUGCAAGUCGAGGGGCAGCAGGGGUAGCAAUACUCGCUGGCGACCGGCGCACGGGUGCGUAACACGUAUGCAACUUUCCUUCAACUGGAAGAUAGCCCGAAGAAAUUCGGAUUAAUAUUCCAUAGUUAUAUGAAAUGGCAUCAUUUUAUAUUUAAAGCUCAGGCGGUUGAAGAUGGGCAUGCGUUCGAUUAGCUAGUUGGUGAGGUAAUGGCUCACCAAGGCUACGAUCGAUAGGGGAUCUGAGAGGAUUAACCCCCACACUGGUACUGAGACACGGACCAGACUCCUACGGGAGGCAGCAGUAAGGAAUAUUGGACAAUGGAGGCAACUCUGAUCCAGCCAUGCCGCGUGAAGGAUGAAGGUCCUAUGGAUUGUAAACUUCUUUUGAACGGGAGAAAACCUUCGGUCGUGUACCGAAGCUGAUAGUACCGUUAGAAUAAGGGUCGGCUAACUUCGUGCCAGCAGCCGCGGUAAUACGAAGGACCCGAGCGUUAUCCGGAUUUAUUGGGUUUAAAGGGUGCGUAGGCGGAAUGGUAAGUCAGUGGUGAAAUCUUGUGGCUUAACUGCAAAACUGCCAUUGAUACUGCCAAUCUUGAGUACAUUUGAUGUGGGCGGAAUGUGCCAUGUAGUGGUGAAAUACUUAGAUAUGGCACAGAACACCGAUCGCGAAGGCAGCUCACAAAACUGUUACUGACGCUGAGGCACGAAAGCGUGGGGAUCAAACAGGAUUAGAUACCCUGGUAGUCCACGCCUUAAACUAUGAUUACUCGAUGUGUGCGAUACACAGUACGCGUCUAAGCGAAAGCGUUAAGUAAUCCACCUGGGGAGUACGGUCGCAAGAUUGAAACUCAAAGAAAUUGACGGGGGCCCGCACAAGCGGAGGAGCAUGUGGUUUACUUCGAUGGUACGCGAGGAACCUUACCUGGGCUUGAAAGUUAGUGAAUGCUGUGGAAACAUGGCAGGCCGCAAGGACACGAAACUAGGUGCUGCAUGGCUGUCGUCAGCUCGUGCCGUGAGGUGUUGGGUUAAGUCCCGCAACGAGCGCAACCCCUAUCUUUAGUUGCCAGCGAGUAAUGUCGGGGACUCUAAAGAAACUGCCCGUGCAAACGGUGAGGAAGGUGGGGAUGACGUCAAGUCAGCACGGCCCUUACGUCCAGGCUACACACGUGCUACAAUGGCGAGUACAAAGUGCAGCUACAUGGUGACAUGAUGCUAAUCUCUAAAACUCGUCUCAGUUCGGAUUGAAGUCUGCAAUUCGACUUCAUGAAGCUGGAUUCGCUAGUAAUCGAAUAUCAGCAAUGAUUCGGUGAAUACGUUCCCGGGCCUUGUACACACCGCCCGUCAAACAAUGGAAGCUGAGGGUACUUAAAGUCGAUAACCGCAAGGAGUCACCUAGGGUAAAAUCGGUAACUGGUGUUAAGUCGAAACAAGGUA